UUCGAAAGGAACGCUAAUACCGCAUACGUCCUACGGGAGAAAGCAGGGGACCUUCGGGCCUUGCGCUAUCAGAUGAGCCUAGGUCGGAUUAGCUAGUUGGUGAGGUAAUGGCUCACCAAGGCGACGAUCCGUAACUGGUCUGAGAGGAUGAUCAGUCACACUGGAACUGAGACACGGUCCAGACUCCUACGGGAGGCAGCAGUGGGGAAUAUUGGACAAUGGGCGAAAGCCUGAUCCAGCCAUGCCGCGUGUGUGAAGAAGGUCUUCGGAUUGUAAAGCACUUUAAGUUGGGAGGAAGGGUUGUUUCCUAAUACGAAGCAAUUUUGACGUUACCGACAGAAUAAGCACCGGCUAACUCUGUGCCAGCAGCCGCGGUAAUACAGAGGGUGCAAGCGUUAAUCGGAAUUACUGGGCGUAAAGCGCGCGUAGGUGGUUUGUUAAGUUGAAUGUGAAAUCCCCGGGCUCAACCUGGGAACUGCAUCCAAAACUGGCAAGCUAGAGUAGGGCAGAGGGUGGUGGAAUUUCCUGUGUAGCGGUGAAAUGCGUAGAUAUAGGAAGGAACACCAGUGGCGAA
This 574-nucleotide ribosomal RNA is filed under the name Pseudomonas viridiflava. RNAcentral describes it as "bacterial SSU rRNA". It matches the Rfam family "Bacterial small subunit ribosomal RNA", at positions 150 to 719 of the family's 1533-position model. Lineage: Bacteria; Pseudomonadati; Pseudomonadota; Gammaproteobacteria; Pseudomonadales; Pseudomonadaceae. The record is from RNAcentral.